UACGUAGGGUGCAAGCGUUGUCCGGAAUUAUUGGGCGUAAAGAGCUUGUAGGCGGUUUGUCGCGUCUGCUGUGAAAUUUCGGGGCUCAACCCCGAACUUGCAGUGGGUACGGGCAGACUAGAGUGUGGUAGGGGAGACUGGAAUUCCUGGUGUAGCGGCGAAAUGCGCAGAUAUCAGGAGGAACACCGAUGGCGAAGGCAGGUCUCUGGGCCAUAACUGACGCUGAGAAGCGAAAGCAUGGGGAGCGAACAGG
This 253-nucleotide ribosomal RNA is filed under the name uncultured bacterium. RNAcentral describes it as "partial 16S ribosomal RNA". It matches the Rfam family "Bacterial small subunit ribosomal RNA", at positions 524 to 776 of the family's 1533-position model. The record is from RNAcentral.